GACGAACGCUGGCGGCGUGCUUAACACAUGCAAGUCGAACGGUGAAGGGGUCUGCUUUUGUGGGCCCUGGAUGAGUGGCGAACGGGUGAGUAACACGUGAGUAACCUGCCCCCUUCUUCUGGAUAACCGCAUGAAAGUGUGGCUAAUACGGGAUAUUCUGGGUCUGUCGCAUGAUGGGUCUGGGAAAGAUUGCGCCUUUGGGUGUUUUUGGUGGGGGAUGGGCUCGCGGCCUAUCAGCUUGUUGGUGGGGUGAUGGCCUACCAAGGCGGUGACGGGUAGCCGGCCUGAGAGGGUGGACGGUCACACUGGGACUGAGACACGGCCCAGACUCCUACGGGAGGCAGCAGUGGGGAAUAGUGCACAAUGGGCGCAAGCCUGAUGCAGCGACGCCGCGUGAGGGAUGGAGGCCUUCGGGGUGUAAACCUCUUUCGCCAGUGAAGCAGGCCUGCUCCUUGUGGGUGGGUUGACGGUAGCUGGAUAAGAAGCGCCGGCUAACUACGUG
RNAcentral lists this ribosomal RNA (502 nucleotides) under uncultured bacterium. Its description in RNAcentral is "partial 16S ribosomal RNA". It matches the Rfam family "Bacterial small subunit ribosomal RNA", at positions 28 to 507 of the family's 1533-position model. The record is from RNAcentral.